AGAGUUUGUCAGAGGGGGGUGGAAUCCAAGUGUAGCAGUGAAAUGCGUAGAGAUUUGGAGGAACACCAAUGGCGAAGGCAACCCCCUGGGAUAAAACUGACGCUCAUGCACGAAAGCGUGGGUAGCAAACAGGAUUAGAUACCCUGGUAGUCCACGCCCCAAACGAUGUCUACUUGCUGUUGGGGGCAACCUUAGUAGCGAAGCUAACGCGAGAAGUAGACCGCCUGGGGAGUACGGUCGCAAGAUUAAAACUCAAAGGAAUUGACGGGGACCCGCACAAGCGGUGGAUGAUGUGGAUUAAUUCGAUGCAACGCGAAGAACCUUACCUGCUCUUGACAUGUACGGAAGAUUUCAGAGAUGAGAUUGUGCCUUCGGGAACCGUAACACAGGUGCUGCAUGGCUGUCGUCAGCUCGUGUCGUGAGAUGUUGUCUUAAGUGACGCAACGAGCGCAACCCUUGUCACUAGUUGCCAUCAUUAAGUUGGGCACUUUAGUGAGACUGCCGGAGCUAAUCCGGAGGAAGGUGGGGAUGACGUCAAGUCCUCAUGGCCCUUAUGAGCAGGGCUUCACACGUCAUACAAUGGUAAGUAACAGAGGGAAGCGAAGCGGCGACGUGGAGCAAAUCC
RNAcentral lists this ribosomal RNA (625 nucleotides) under uncultured bacterium. RNAcentral describes it as "bacterial SSU rRNA". It matches the Rfam family "Bacterial small subunit ribosomal RNA", at positions 643 to 1274 of the family's 1533-position model. The record is from RNAcentral.